Molecule: long non-coding RNA, 2754 nt
Filed under: Triticum aestivum (bread wheat)
Lineage: Eukaryota; Viridiplantae; Streptophyta; Magnoliopsida; Poales; Poaceae
Description: long non-coding RNA (TAES_LNC023005)
Rfam family: MIR1120/MIR1122 microRNA precursor family (bases 2155-2289)
Source: RNAcentral
UAGAAGCGGCAUCGCGCCGUGAACUGUAGAUGCACCAGGCAACCAGGGAGGGUGUAAAUGUGCUGUGAUUUGCCGUGUGAAGGGUGAUGCCCUGUGGGACUUAUAGUUUUCUGUAAUAUCUUCCUGUCUGUGCUUCUUGGUGUUGCUAGCCUGGUGUGAUUCAAAAAGACAGUAUUCGCUGCUUGUUGACAUGAUAAAUUCUUGGACUAAAUAAAGCCGUGGUCCUGCUACGCCUGGCGGUGCUUUGCUGCUUCGAGAUUGCCCUUCUUUUGAUGGACCAUAUGUUCCUUUUCUUUCAGUCUCUUAGCUCUUUUUCUUUUGAGAGGUUCAGUUAAUUCUUUCCGGCCAUUAAGAGAACAUAGUUUCUGCUAACACAGUUUCUUUGAGAAAUAUUGUGUGAACACAGUUUUGUAGCGAGUGCCGCCUGAUGGGAAAAGAUAGUAGGCCGGCCACUGUGCAGCUCACUAAUGCAAUAGAGAAGUUUGAAUAUAAAUGUUAAAAAUAAUGCAAUAGAGAAAUUUGUAUAUAUAAAUUAAAAAUGCUCGUGUUCCUAGAAAUAAAUGUUCUUACAUGCAAAAAAAGUUGAUAUCAAUUAAAAAUUGUUCACCAUGAAUGGAAACUUUUUAUUCAUAUAUCUUUUGAAAAGUUCAUGUAUUUCAGAAAAAAUUGUUCGCGCGUGUUAGAAUAUAUCGUUCAUGAAACGUUUAUAAAAAUGUUCACAUAUGUCCCUCCAGAAAUACAAAAUAUAAAGAAGAAAAAGGAAAUACAGUUUUUUUUGAAAAACGGCAGGUUGUGAAAUAUAUUUAGGGAAAGUACUGAAUACAUCCUAAUACAACCCCAUGGUGCUUCUCUAAACAGUGAGUAAUAUACAAGAAUUAUUUCAAAACUUUUAAAAUGCCAAAAUGUUAUUUCCAAAAUUUGAAAAUGCUAUGAGCGCAUUGCUCAGGUAACCUUGCUUGCUGGUUUUCUUUUCUUUUCUGCUAAUGCCGGAAACACAGCAAUGAAGCUGCAUCGAAUAUGGAUAUAUCUCGGUGGAAUAAUACAUGCUUCGCCAUUUCUCCGAAGCUAACAAUUAUUCCUUUCUGUUGCCUUUUUGCCCCUUUUGGAAUGACUUACGAAAUACAUAUGUCUUAAUAGGAUAGAUACUACAGGACUCACCAUUUUCGUGAAGGAGACACCGGUUCCUUGUUGAUGUACUCCCUCCGUCCGGAAAUACUUGUCGCAAAAAUGGAUACAAAUGGAUGCAUCUAAAACUAAAAUACAUCUAGAUACAUUCAUUCCUCCGACAAGUAUUUCCGGACGGAGGGAGUACCUUGUUUCCAUUCUGAAUGAUUGUGUUUUCUCGCUUGCAAAACUAAUACUCCCUCCGUCCGAAAAUACUUGUUGAAGGAAUGGACGUAUCUAGACGUAUUUUAGUGUUAGAUACAUUCAUUUUUAGUCAUUUUUACGACAAGUAUUUCCGGACGGAGGGAGUAGAUGUCAAAAUGUUUUUUCAUUGUCAGGACAGUGAUUAGUUGAGUUGUGAAUGACUCCCUGCUGCAUAAAAAGUUGAAUCCAUCAUGUACAUAACCUAAACCUGAUAGCAAUCAGUUACAGUCGGGUUCUAAAAUCCUACUGAAGAUCCCAAGCACAGAGACAGUUCUAGCAUAAAAAAUUCUCCCUGACAUGCUUUAAGCUAAGGAUAAGAAGGUAAAUAAACUGCCCCAUAAUUUCCGGAUCAGAGUAGGUGGUCAAAUUAGGCGGCAGCAGCAACCAUAGCCGCCCGAGCAGUCGUGAAAGUCGAGAUCAGUGCCCCAAGCUGCAGUUUGUUGUUGCAGGCGAAGGUUAGCCGAUACCUGCACAGAAAUGAUGUCAAUAACGUUGCUGACUGUUUGAAGAGGCACUGCCAAAAGAAUUAUCUGACUUUUGGUCCCAGUAUUUUAGGAAUAGAACGAUUCAACAAGUCAAAAGGGGAAAAAAAUCGUAGCUCAUUCCUGAUGAAUAUUUCCAAGGAUCAUUUCAGAUCAUAUAAGGGCUCCAGUACAGUACAAAACCCAAAUAUUCCAGAUAGGCAAAGGUUUUCCUAUGUGCAAUUGCUUCGUUGAAACUACCACAUUUUUCACUUUCUGAAAAUCAACAUGUUGGACGUGUAGAGAACACACAUGCCAAGUUAACCAAAUACUCCCUCCGUCCCAAAAUUCUUUUCUUAGAUUUGUCUACAUACGGAUGUAUCUAAUACUAAAACAUGACUUGAUACAUCCGUAUUUAGACAAAUAUAAGACAAGAAUUUUGGGACGGAGGGAGUACAAAUUAUGCUUUGGAGUGUGGCACUGUUUCGGCAACAUGAUUUGUGUCACUUGUUGCUUUGCUUAGUUGACUAAAGUCUACAGCCUAAAGGAAUGACCAUACUCACCAAGCCAGCCUGGCCAUAACAUUACAGUUACUGAGCUAUGGUUAGUACUUCUUGUGUGAACUAAAAUGACUACCGGAAUGACACAAUAAGCAUAAAUCAUGUCAUCAGAACAAGUAAGGUAAUUUAACUUGUGAGAAGUGAGCACACAGUGUUACUGUUACAGUUAGGUGUCGCGAUUUGAGCAGAAUCAUCAGCAAAAUAUAUCUAAUCGAUGACAACUUUGGUUAAAAUUGAACUUUAAAAGUAUAAACACGACAUACUCAAUAUCUGCCAAAUCAUUAAUCAACUUUACUCGUACAUUGGAUGGCAUAUUAAUUUUGAACACAAACCUGCAAAAAAAAAUUGAAAUAAUUAAAAGGAGC